Molecule: microRNA, 22 nt
Filed under: Rattus norvegicus (Norway rat)
Lineage: Eukaryota; Metazoa; Chordata; Mammalia; Rodentia; Muridae
Description: rno-miR-628
Gene: rno-miR-628
Source: miRBase by way of RNAcentral
AUGCUGACAUAUUUACGAGAGG